AUACGAAGGGUGCAAGCGUUACUCGGAAUUAUUGGGCGUAAAGCGCAUGUAGGCGGUGCCUUAAGUCUGUCGUGAAACUGCGGGGCCUAACCCCGUAUGGCGAUGGAAACUGUGGCACUUGAGUGCAGGAGAGGAAAGGGGAACUCCCAGUGUAGCGGUGAAAUGCGUAGAUAUUGGGAAGAACACCGGUGGCGAAGGCGCCUUUCUGGACUGUGUCUGACGCUGAGAUGCGAAAGCCAGGGUAGCGAACGGGAUUAGAUACCCCGGUAGUCCUGGCCGUAAACGAUGGGUACUAGGUGUGGGAGGUAUCGACCCCUUCCGUGCCGGAGUUAACGCAAUAAGUACCCCGCCUGGGGAGUACGGCCGCAAGGCUUAAACUCAAAUGAAUUGACGGGG
This 396-nucleotide ribosomal RNA is filed under the name uncultured bacterium. RNAcentral describes it as "partial 16S ribosomal RNA". It matches the Rfam family "Bacterial small subunit ribosomal RNA", at positions 523 to 918 of the family's 1533-position model. The record is from RNAcentral.